This 249-nucleotide long non-coding RNA is filed under the name Gossypium barbadense (sea-island cotton). Its description in RNAcentral is "long non-coding RNA (GBAR_LNC017387)". Lineage: Eukaryota; Viridiplantae; Streptophyta; Magnoliopsida; Malvales; Malvaceae. The record is from RNAcentral.
UCGUGUGUGUUGACAUAUUUUGAACAAAAAGGAAAAGUAAGAUGAAGAAGGCUGUAUGUAGAUUGUUUAUGCAUUUAUUUAUUUUAUUGUUAAGUUUGAUUGAUUGAUAGUGAGCUAUUCAGGGGAGCAUUUGUUUUUUUUUUUUUUUUUUUGUUAUAUAUGUUUCUUCUAUUAUGAUGUUGACGCAAUUUUGAGGAAUGUUACGAGUAUACCCACCGAUUUUAAUAUUGUUCAGCCUCAUAACUCGUU